GUGAUUGGUUUAAUCUGACAACCAAUCGUGAGAGAGGAGAGAACUGCAGAGGCGGGGCCACCAUUUCCAAGCUCAACCGUCAAAGUCCCGCGGCCGGGGAUGCAAGAGGCAAGAGGACCAGCGUUUCUAAGGCAACGAAGUUGGACAAAGCUCUGCACUGAUCCCAGGCUACCCUGCUCUCUCCAUUUAAGUUUUGCCUCAGAAAAGGAAACGUAACCAAGCCAAAUGAACAACUUAGAAACACUGAAGUCCCAAGGACUUCAUAGUGAUGAUGUCCUUGGGACAAUUGGGCCUUUUAAAAUCUAUUUGGGCAGUUUGGAGGCCCUUUUAGGCCCUUUCGAAAUUCCAGAUGAGGUGAUGAAUGCCUUAUUUCUCAUCAUGAGCAGGAGCCAGCCUGGGACAGAGGCUAUCAAUAGUCAGGCUAUGAGCCUGAUUUUGGAGGGCAGCUCCAGGGCCAGGAGUACU
Non-coding RNA from Paramisgurnus dabryanus, 465 nucleotides. The record is from RefSeq and is a predicted model, not a curated record. Lineage: Eukaryota; Metazoa; Chordata; Actinopteri; Cypriniformes; Cobitidae.